Molecule: ribosomal RNA, 433 nt
Filed under: uncultured bacterium
Lineage: Bacteria
Description: bacterial SSU rRNA
Rfam family: Bacterial small subunit ribosomal RNA
Source: RNAcentral
AACGCGAAGAACCUUACCAAGGCUUGACAUGCACGGGAAAGUCCCAGAGAUGGUUCCCCCGCAAGGUCCGUGCACAGGUGGUGCAUGGUGGUCGUCAGCUCGUGUCGUGAGAUGUUGGGUUAAGUCCCGCAACGAGCGCAACCCCUGUCUUAUGUUGCCAGCGCGUUAUGGCGGGGACUCAUAAGAGACUGCCGGGGUCAACUCGGAGGAAGGUGGGGAUGACGUCAAAUCAUCAUGCCCCUUAUGUCUUGGGCUUCACGCAUGCUACAAUGGCCGGCACAAAGGGCUGCGAAACCGCAAGGUGGAGCGAAUCCCAGAAAGCCGGUCUCAGUUCGGAUUGGGGUCUGCAACUCGACCCCAUGAAGUCGGAGUCGCUAGUAAUCGCAGAUCAGCAACGCUGCGGUGAAUACGUUCCCGGGCCUUGUACACACCG